Long non-coding RNA from Ceratitis capitata (Mediterranean fruit fly), 632 nucleotides. RefSeq lists it as uncharacterized. The record is from RefSeq and is a predicted model, not a curated record. The transcript is spliced from 3 exons. Lineage: Eukaryota; Metazoa; Arthropoda; Insecta; Diptera; Tephritidae.
GUACGGACACCGGCACAAUAUCCACUUGUUGUUGCUGCACUACAGCUCGCAAGCACUUGAAUUUCAGAUGAGUGUACGCGGUUGCUACGCUUUGACUAGUCUACCAUAUUAGCGUUAUGCCUACACCGUCAUAGCGAAGGCGAGGCAACGUAGGGAAGGCAGCUGAGCAUAAGCGAGCGCUUCAAAUGUCACACAUAAAGCAGAACUGCAGUUGUAUACUCACACGCACACACACACUCAAAGAUAUUCCUGUAUGACUGGAGUGGCAAAGAACGACAGGAAAGCGGCGCCGGCAUGCGGGUGCACUAUGAGGGCAGGCAGCUCACAUACACGCACACCCACAUACAUGCAUGCAGAAGAGCAGCUGUAGCAGAAGUGCAGAAGCGGUGCAGGAUUGGCGUUGUUUUGUUUGAACGCUGCUUACAACUAACCAUACGAGUAUAAAGUGCUGACUUUGCAUGCUGCCAAUAACAACUGAAUCGAAUAUUCAGCUGAAAAUUGAUUUAUUUGCAAGUGUUGGGGAGCGAGAGUGCCGACAGUCAGGCAAUGCCACAAGAGGCAUAGCAACAGCCAAGUACAAAGAAAGGGCAACAACAAUCAAAGUAGUUGGCGUAGUAGUAGUGAAAACAACA